CAGAUUUUUUUUCCUCUCCCAGGAAAUCCCUAGAUUCCUGGUAGAAAUGCAUAUGGAUGAAGGUCAAGGCAAAACAGGCCCAGCAAGAACAGGACACUCCCAGCCUGAUGAUGGCAUCAUGUGGUUUCCAGGUCUCUGAGAAAACUAGACAUUACCAGCAUCAAAUCAUCCACAGAGCACUCUAACUAAAAGGAGAACAUUAUGGGAACUGCAUCACACAAGUUCUAGGCUUGAAAGAGGUGCUACAGCAUCCACCGCAGAUAAUACGAUGCCCCUUAGGACUACUGCCAUGUGUAAACUUCUCCUCAUACAAACUGCACAAAAUCAACAGCAGGGAAGGUACGGGAAUGAAAGGGAGAAGAUCAAGGGCUGAGGGGCCAGGGGGAGCUGCUGAAAAGCUGCAGCAGAUUAUGUGGAGCUGAAAGCUGGGUAGGACUUUGGGUAAAAAAUUAGUACCCACCGUGUUUAUAUCAAAUGCCAUGGGAUUUUCUUUAAUGAAAGGCCACAUAGGUCCUCAUUUUUUUUUAUUUGAGGAGAUUUUAAAGAGUGUGCAGUAACUGAAGCACUGGAAUCAAUAGCAGGGGAGCAAGAAAAACAUCUGUAGGUGCCUUGCAGCUUUUUGGUCCAGUGUAUUAUAUUGAAUGCAACUGUGCAACCUUCCCUUUAAUGAUAUGUCUUGUGGUCAGAUUUUUGGGCAGCAUGAUGGAAAUUGGUGUGAGCCCCUUCCUAGGCAUAGAUAAUGGCAUAACCAGGUCUGCCUGUUGAAUGUUAUCAGCCCUGUAUCUGACCUCUGUGCAUCUAAUAACAAAGAUGUGUGUUGAAAAGCAGCAUUUUAUGAAAGAGUUAUUCGUUUAAUAUAUUAUUCUGGCUUAACAUCUGCAUGUGGAUUGGAAACUGUCAGAGCGAAACAGAGUAAUUUUCCAAGGUAUAUGACAAUAUAAAGAUGGUGUGAGGUAACCUGCUGGGACAGUCGUGGUGAAAUCAGAUUGGCAAAAAUAAGGGUUGACCUGUUACUUGGAAGAAAGAGGCCAAUUUAUCACUGUGGUGUGUUACUGUGUUAAAUAACUCAAUUUACUUUUAUUUUAAUCUGAACACUUGAAGGUCUUAAAAAAUAGAAGUCAUUUGGUCUCUGUGGUUUGCUCUAGUUUAGGAAUUUUUUUUGUUCCUUUUCUCUCUCUCUCUCUCUCUUUUUUUUUUUUUUUUUUUUUUUUUUUUUUUUUUUUUUUUUUUUUUUUUUUUUUUUUUGUGAGGCAAUGGUGGUUGAGUAUCUCCAAGAAAAUGAAGUACCGGCAAGGGGGCAGAAAAUCGUGCCUGUUAUUUCAUGUAGCCAGAGAAAGAAGCAACACCUUGGAGGUGAAUGAUAGAUAUUAUUAUAAAAGAGUUGUAGCUCAGGGCAGGUGAGCAGUGUGUUAAUGAGGAGCCACCUCCUGCUUUCUGACAGAUGACUGUCAUUGUUCAAAUGCUGCCAUCAGAUUGAUUAAUAACUGGGUCAUCCUGCCCUGCAGUUGGAGUAGACUGUCUUCAUUCUUUUGCUGAUUUCUCUAAUAUGCUGACCUGGAGGUGACCCAACAGAGGUGGAGCUGAGAUUAGCAUUUCAUUUUUUGUAGAACAACAAGAAAAAAUUCACAAGGAAGCGGUGGGUGCAGGGGGAAUAUUAACCAAAAACUCAAGGAAUGUUCUUAUCCCCAGAACAACCCCAAAACUUAUUCAUCAUUUAUGAAUAGGCAGUUUAGUAUUUGAUACAUUUAUAUUUUUAAUAAAGAUUUAAAUUAGUCAGGUUCUUCUCUGCAGUGUCAGCUAAAUCCAAAUGAAAAGAUGUAUAAGAUCUCUCCAGAACACGCAAAGAAAUGUAAAGACCUGUGUACUGAGGGGCAUGGGAGUGAGCUGAUAUAACAUCAGAAUUCCUGCUUUGCCUUAAUGUCUCUUAAUGUUCACCAAAUCCACUAUUAAAAGACCAAAUAGUAAACAGCAUGCUU
This is a long non-coding RNA of Prinia subflava (tawny-flanked prinia), 1976 nucleotides long. RefSeq lists it as uncharacterized. NCBI's taxonomy places the organism in Eukaryota, Metazoa, Chordata, Aves, Passeriformes, Cisticolidae. The record is from RefSeq and is a predicted model, not a curated record. The transcript has 3 exons.